UGCACACUUCUCCCUUCAAGGGCAUGACCUACUAAACGUACCUAAAUUGAGUCUUGAGACCUCGUGGCAGGAAUGGUGGAAUAUCUCCAGCAGAAAGAAGGGUAGUUCGUACUACGCUAUCCAACCGGCAGUAAAAUCGAAACCGUGGUUUACUCGUUUUAAAAAAUACCCUAAACAAGUUAUUUCGGUUCUAUGCAGGAUACGUUUAGGACAUUGUUGUACUCCGGUCUUCUUGCGCAAAAUUCGGGUGCAGGACUCAUCUCUCUGCGAGUGUGGACUGGAUGAGGGUUCCCUGGACCAUAUAUUUUUUAAUUGUCCCAAUAACUCAUCUUUUGAUUUAUAUGGUCGUCUCCAAAAACUGAAGAUUCCUCUCCCUACUAAUUUCCGUUCCCUCUUAACUUACUCCUGUCCAGAACUGCUCCAGGCGCUAUUGAUGUCCAUCCAUCGUAAUAAUAUUAAAUUAUAAACUCUGGCCUAUCUAUUUAGACCACUGUUUGUAUAAAUGUGUGCCGUCCUACUAACACGAUAAGUUACACAAGUUUGACUACAACAUCAACUUAAUUUUGUCUUUUUGUCAAUCACAAGCACUACUUGCUUCUCCUUCCACUUGUCAUUGGCAGAAUCGUCGACGUUUGCAUCGACAUGGAUUGCCAUAAAUAAAAAUAGAAUAGAAUAGAAUA
Long non-coding RNA from Helicoverpa zea (corn earworm), 680 nucleotides. RefSeq lists it as uncharacterized. The transcript has 2 exons. NCBI's taxonomy places the organism in Eukaryota, Metazoa, Arthropoda, Insecta, Lepidoptera, Noctuidae. The record is from RefSeq and is a predicted model, not a curated record.